GAUGAACGCUGGCGGCGUGCCUAAUACAUGCAAGUCGAGCGAACAGAUGAGGAUCUUGCUCCUCUGACGUUAGCGGCGGACGGGUGAGUAACACGUGGAUAACCUACCUAUAAGACUGGGAUAACUUCGGGAAACCGGAGCUAAUACCGGAUAAUAUAUUGAACCGCAUGGUUCAAUAGUGAAAGACGGUUUUGCUGUCACUUAUAGAUGGAUCCGCGCCGCAUUAGCUAGUUGGUAAGGUAACGGCUUACCAAGGCAACGAUGCGUAGCCGACCUGAGCGGGUGCUCGGCCACACUGGAACUGAGACACGGUCCAGACUCCUACGGGAGGCAGCAGUAGGGAAUCUUCCGCAAUGGGCGAACGCCUGACGGAGCAACGCCGCGUGAGUGAUGAAGGUCUUCGGAUCGUAAAACUCUGUUAUUAGGGAAGAACAAAUGUGUAAGUAACUAUGCACGUCUUGACGGUACCUAAUCAGAAAGCCACGGCUAACUACGUG
RNAcentral lists this ribosomal RNA (497 nucleotides) under uncultured bacterium. Its description in RNAcentral is "partial 16S ribosomal RNA". It matches the Rfam family "Bacterial small subunit ribosomal RNA", at positions 28 to 507 of the family's 1533-position model. The record is from RNAcentral.